AAUUGCUUGUGGAUAGAAGUAGCAACCUGUAAAUGUGAGACUGUUCUUGUCAAAACCCUCAGGGUACUCCCCAGGUUAGAGCUUCUCUUGCUUCCUUCCCUCUGAUGCAGAAGAGCUUGUUUUUUCAUCACAGGAAAUCAAGUGAUCACUUGUAUUCCAUAUGGGGCCUCAACAGAAUUCUGUGUUUUUGUAGUCCUGGAAUAACACAGGCUUGAAAUGUUGUUUUUUUUUUUGUCUAAGUGUAGACUUCUGGCUGCUCUGUAUUUGUGAAAAAAGACAAGUGUGGUUGCUCCAGCUGUCUUCCUCUGUGUAAGCAACUCAGGUGGGAAUGGUGGUGUUUAAGUGGACAGGUGCUUAAAAAGGCUUCCAAUGUGCAGGUUAAAAAGAUUUCUGGAAACCUAUGGUCUAUGCACAUGACAAAGAUGAAGAAAAAUGGGAGAAAUAAACAGUGGCAGAAGGAACAUAUAAGAAAAAGAGGUUCUAUUCUUCAUAACUUCAGUAGGAC
This 505-nucleotide long non-coding RNA is filed under the name Parus major (Great Tit). RNAcentral describes it as "lncRNA (ENSPMJG00000002996.1)". The record is from RNAcentral. Lineage: Eukaryota; Metazoa; Chordata; Aves; Passeriformes; Paridae.